GGAGAGCACCUGCCUUGCAAGCAGGGGGUCAAGGGUUCGAAUCCCUUUAUCUCCACGA
RNAcentral lists this transfer RNA (58 nucleotides) under Clostridium sp. TF08-15. RNAcentral describes it as "tRNA-Ala". It matches the Rfam family "tRNA", at positions 17 to 71 of the family's 71-position model. Rfam says of the family: Transfer RNA (tRNA) molecules are approximately 80 nucleotides in length. Their secondary structure includes four short double-helical elements and three loops (D, anti-codon, and T loops). The record is from RNAcentral. Lineage: Bacteria; Bacillati; Bacillota; Clostridia; Eubacteriales; Clostridiaceae.